AUACGAGCCGUCUCCGUUAGGCUCGGGCACGGUCGUCAGGUGAUGGAACCCGGUGCGAAUCCGGGACGGUCCCGCCACUGUGUGUCCGACGCGUGCGUCGGCGAGUCAGGAACGCCCUGACGAUCGACUCCCGUG
Non-coding RNA from Dermacoccus nishinomiyaensis, 135 nucleotides. The record is from Rfam. NCBI's taxonomy places the organism in Bacteria, Bacillati, Actinomycetota, Actinomycetes, Micrococcales, Dermacoccaceae.